This 2293-nucleotide ribosomal RNA is filed under the name Listeria monocytogenes. RNAcentral's name for it is "partial 23S ribosomal RNA". It matches the Rfam family "Bacterial large subunit ribosomal RNA", at positions 639 to 2925 of the family's 2925-position model. The record is from RNAcentral. Lineage: Bacteria; Bacillati; Bacillota; Bacilli; Caryophanales; Listeriaceae.
UGCAAGGUUAAGCGGAAAAAGCGGAGCCGUAGCGAAAGCGAGUCUGAAUAGGGCGCAUAAGUAACAGGUCGUAGACCCGAAACCAGGUGAUCUACCCAUGUCCAGGAUGAAGGUAAGGUAAUACUUACUGGAGGUCCGAACCCACGCACGUUGAAAAGUGCGGGGAUGAGGUGUGGGUAGCGGAGAAAUUCCAAUCGAACUUGGAGAUAGCUGGUUCUCUCCGAAAUAGCUUUAGGGCUAGCCUCGAGGUAAAGAGUCAUGGAGGUAGAGCACUGUUUGGACUAGGGGCCCUUCUCGGGUUACCGAAUUCAGAUAAACUCCGAAUGCCAUGUACUUAUACUCGGGAGUCAGACUGCGAGUGAUAAGAUCCGUAGUCGAAAGGGAAACAGCCCAGACCACCAGUUAAGGUCCCCAAAUAUAUGUUAAGUGGAAAAGGAUGUGGGGUUGCUUAGACAACCAGGAUGUUGGCUUAGAAGCAGCCACCAUUGAAAGAGUGCGUAAUAGCUCACUGGUCGAGUGACCCCGCGCCGAAAAUGUACCGGGGCUAAACAUAUUACCGAAACUGUGGAUGAACCUCUUUAGAGGUUCGUGGUAGGAGAGCGUUCUAAGGGCGGUGAAGUCAGACCGGAAGGACUGGUGGAGCGCUUAGAAGUGAGAAUGCCGGUAUGAGUAGCGAAAGAAGGGUGAGAAUCCCUUCCACCGAAUAUCUAAGGUUUCCUGAGGAAGGCUCGUCCGCUCAGGGUUAGUCGGGACCUAAGCCGAGGCCGAUAGGCGUAGGCGAUGGACAACAGGUAGAGAUUCCUGUACCAGUGCUAAUUGUUUAACCGAUGGGGUGACACAGAAGGAUAGGGAAUCGCACGAAUGGAAAUGUGCGUCCAAGCAGUGAGUGUGAGAAGUAGGCAAAUCCGCUUCUCGCGAAGCAUGAGCUGUGAUGGGGAAGGAAAUUAAGUACGGAAGUUCCUGAUUUCACGCUGUCAAGAAAAGCCUCUAGGAAGAGUAGUACUGCCCGUACCGCAAACCGACACAGGUAGAUGAGGAGAGAAUCCUAAGGUGAGCGAGAGAACUCUCGUUAAGGAACUCGGCAAAAUGACCCCGUAACUUCGGGAGAAGGGGUGCUCUAUUAGGGUGCAAGCCCGAGAGAGCCGCAGUGAAUAGGCCCAGGCGACUGUUUAGCAAAAACACAGGUCUCUGCAAAACCGUAAGGUGACGUAUAGGGGCUGACGCCUGCCCGGUGCUGGAAGGUUAAGAGGAGUGCUUAGCUUCGGCGAAGGUACGAAUUGAAGCCCCAGUAAACGGCGGCCGUAACUAUAACGGUCCUAAGGUAGCGAAAUUCCUUGUCGGGUAAGUUCCGACCCGCACGAAAGGCGCAACGAUCUGGGCACUGUCUCAACGAGAGACUCGGUGAAAUUAUAGUACCUGUGAAGAUGCAGGUUACCCGCGACAGGACGGAAAGACCCCGUGGAGCUUUACUGCAACCUGAUAUGGAAUGUUUGUACCGCUUGUACAGGAUAGGUAGGAGCCGAAGAGACGUGUGCGCUAGCAUACGAGGAGGCAAUGGUGGGAUACUACCCUGGCUGUAUGACCAUUCUAACCCGCCACGCUUAGCGCGUGGGGAGACAGUGUCAGGUGGGCAGUUUGACUGGGGCGGUCGCCUCCUAAAGAGUAACGGAGGCGCCCAAAGGUUCCCUCAGAAUGGAUGGAAAUCAUUCGCAGAGUGUAAAGGCACAAGGGAGCUUGACUGCGAGACUGACAAGUCGAGCAGGGACGAAAGUCGGGCUUAGUGAUCCGGUGGUUCCGCAUGGAAGGGCCAUCGCUCAACGGAUAAAAGCUACCCCGGGGAUAACAGGCUUAUCUCCCCCAAGAGUCCACAUCGACGGGGAGGUUUGGCACCUCGAUGUCGGCUCGUCGCAUCCUGGGGCUGUAGUCGGUCCCAAGGGUUGGGCUGUUCGCCCAUUAAAGCGGCACGCGAGCUGGGUUCAGAACGUCGUGAGACAGUUCGGUCCCUAUCCGUCGCGGGCGCAGGAAAUUUGAGAGGAGCUGUCCUUAGUACGAGAGGACCGGGAUGGACACACCGCUGGUGUACCAGUUGUUCCGCCAGGAGCAUCGCUGGGUAGCUAUGUGUGGCAGGGAUAAACGCUGAAAGCAUCUAAGCGUGAAGCCCCCCUCAAGAUGAGAUUUCCCAUUUCUUCGGAAAGUAAGAUCCCUGAAAGAUGAUCAGGUAGAUAGGUUUGGAGUGGAAGUGUAGCGAUACAUGGAGCGGACAAAUACUAAUCGAUCGAGGACUUAACCAAAA